UGGUUCUCGCAUCGAUGAAGAACGCAGCGAAUUGCGAUAUGUAAUGUGAAUUGCAGAAUUCAGUGAAUCAUCGAAUCUUUGAACGCACCUCGCGCCCUUUGGUAUUCCGAAGGGCAUGCCUGUUUGAGUAUCAUUAAUAUUCUCACUCUUGAUUUUCUUGCAAAGCCGAGACGUGGAGUUUGGAGUUUGCAGGCCUUUACUGGUCAGCUUCUCUUACAUGCAUUAGCGGAACUCUAUGCAGUACCGGCCUCGGUUUGAUAAUCCUAUCUAUGCUGUCGCUGGAUGCUGUGCUGUUUGGCUUACAAUUGUCCUUUAUGGACUGUUGCUUUUGCAGCAAAAUACCAAAGCUUGAUCUCAAAUCAGGUAGGGCUACCCGCUGA
This 380-nucleotide unclassified non-coding RNA is filed under the name uncultured fungus. Its description in RNAcentral is "partial contains 5.8S ribosomal RNA and internal transcribed spacer 2". The stretch from base 1 to 133 matches the Rfam family "5.8S ribosomal RNA", at positions 22 to 154 of the family's 154-position model. Lineage: Eukaryota; Fungi. The record is from RNAcentral.